Molecule: ribosomal RNA, 473 nt
Filed under: uncultured bacterium
Lineage: Bacteria
Description: bacterial SSU rRNA
Rfam family: Bacterial small subunit ribosomal RNA
Source: RNAcentral
AGCGAACAUUGGCGGUAGGCUUAACACAUGCAAGUCGAGCGAGGCGUAAUAGUCGAGCGGCGAACGGGUGAGUAAUACUUGGGAAUCUGCCCUGAAGUGGGGAUAACGUCCAGAAAUGGACGCUAAUACCGCAUAAUCCAUAUCGGGAAAGCGCGCUGCGCUUUAGGAUGAGCCCAAGUCUGAUUAGCUAGUUGGCGGGGUAAAGGCCCACCAAGGCGACGAUCAGUAGCUGGUCUGAGAGGAUGAUCAGCCACACUGGAACUGAGACACGGUCCAGACUCCUACGGGAGGCAGCAGUGGGGAAUCUUGCGCAAUGGACGAAAGUCUGACGCAGCGACGCCGCGUGAGUGAUGAAGGCCUUCGGGUUGUAAAGCUCUGUGGAGAGGGACGAAUAAGUGUCGUCGAAUAGACGGCAUGAUGACGGUACCUUUUUAGUCAAGCACCGGCUAACUCUGUGCCAGCAGCCGCGGUAA